CCCUUAGAUGUUCUGGGCCGCACGCGUGCUACACUGAUUCAUGCAACAAGUUUUGUCCUUGGCUGAUAGGCCUGGGUAAUCUUUGAACGUGAAUCGUGAUGGGGAUAGAUGAUUGCAAUUAUUCAUCUUCAACGAGGAAUUCCUAGUAAACGCAAGUCAUCAGCUUGCAUUGAUUACGUCCCUGCCCUUUGUACACACCGCCCGUCGCACCUACCGAUUGAAUGGUCCGGUGAAAUCUUCGGAUCUGAGAGAUGUCUGAUUAAUUUCGGACGCCUUUUGGAAAAGUUGCUUAAACCUUACCAUUUAGAGGAAGGUGAAGUCGUAACA
This 327-nucleotide ribosomal RNA is filed under the name uncultured eukaryote. Its description in RNAcentral is "partial 18S ribosomal RNA". It matches the Rfam family "Eukaryotic small subunit ribosomal RNA", at positions 1470 to 1796 of the family's 1831-position model. The record is from RNAcentral.